RNAcentral lists this ribosomal RNA (908 nucleotides) under Paecilomyces victoriae. RNAcentral's name for it is "LSU rRNA". It matches the Rfam family "Eukaryotic large subunit ribosomal RNA", at positions 38 to 963 of the family's 3401-position model. The record is from RNAcentral. Lineage: Eukaryota; Fungi; Ascomycota; Eurotiomycetes; Eurotiales; Thermoascaceae.
GCAUAUCAAUAAGCGGAGGAAAAGAAACCAACAGGGAUUGCCUCAGUAACGGCGAAGUGAAGCGGCAAGAGCUCAAAUUUGAAAGCUGGCCCCCUCGGGGUCCGCAUUGUAAUUUGCAGAGGAUGCUUCGGGAGUGGCCCCCAUCUAAGUGCCCUGGAACGGGCCGUCAUAGAGGGUGAGAAUCCCGUCUGGGAUGGGGUGUCCACGCCCGUGUGAAGCUCCUUCGACGAGUCGAGUUGUUUGGGAAUGCAGCUCUAAAUGGGUGGUAAAUUUCAUCUAAAGCUAAAUACUGGCCGGAGACCGAUAGCGCACAAGUAGAGUGAUCGAAAGAUGAAAAGCACUUUGAAAAGAGAGUUAAACAGCACGUGAAAUUGUUGAAAGGGAAGCGCUUGCGACCAGACUCGCCCGCAGGGUUCAGCCGGCAUUCGUGCCGGUGUACUUCCCUGCGGGCGGGCCAGCGUCGGUUUGGGCGGCCGGUCAAAGGCCCUUGGAAUGUAACGCCCCCCGGGGCGUCUUAUAGCCAAGGGUGCCAUGCGGCCAGCCCGGACCGAGGAACGCGCUUCGGCUCGGACGCUGGCAUAAUGGUCGUAAGCGACCCGUCUUGAAACACGGACCAAGGAGUCUAACAUCUACGCGAGUGUUCGGGUGUCAAACCCGUGCGCGCAGUGAAAGCGAACGGAGGUGGGAACCCCUCGGGGCGCACCAUCGACCGAUCCUGAUGUCUUCGGAUGGAUUUGAGUAAGAGCGUAGCUGUUGGGACCCGAAAGAUGGUGAACUAUGCCUGAAUAGGGCGAAGCCAGAGGAAACUCUGGUGGAGGCUCGCAGCGGUUCUGACGUGCAAAUCGAUCGUCAAAUUUGGGUAUAGGGGCGAAAGACUAAUCGAACCAUCUAGUAGCUGGUUCCUGCGA